This 208-nucleotide long non-coding RNA is filed under the name Elaeis guineensis (African oil palm). Its description in RNAcentral is "long non-coding RNA (EGUI_LNC016693)". The record is from RNAcentral. Lineage: Eukaryota; Viridiplantae; Streptophyta; Magnoliopsida; Arecales; Arecaceae.
UCCCAUUAAAUCAAGUGAUGCAAUGCGAGUUCUAGCCAACUGAAAUAGAAAAGCUCUGAUCUUCCUUCACAUAAACCACAAGCUGGAUGCUAGAACAGGUUUAAACAAUCAUAUUCCAUGAAUAUGGUCUUAGCUUGCCUCAAAAUCUCUCUAUGAAAUUAGCGCACAAAGAGUUGAGGAUUGACGGUCUCUAUUUAUUAAAGUCACU